Molecule: unclassified non-coding RNA, 413 nt
Filed under: soil metagenome
Description: partial contains 5.8S ribosomal RNA, internal transcribed spacer 2, and large subunit ribosomal RNA
Rfam family: 5.8S ribosomal RNA (bases 1-122)
Source: RNAcentral
GAUGAAGAACGCAGCGAAAUGCGAUACUUGGUGUGAAUUGCAGAAUCCCGUGAACCAUCGAGUCUUUGAACGCAAGUUGCGCCCGAAGCCGUCAGGCCGAGGGCACGCCUGCCUGGGCGUCACACGCCGUUGCCCACCCCGCGCCCCGCACCCAACUCUUUGGGAGCGACCGCGGGGCGGGCUGAUGAUGGCCUCCCGUGCGCUCCGCCGCGCGGUUGGCCCAAAUACCGAGUCCCCGGCGACGUGCGCCACGACGAUCGGUGGUUGAGAGACCUCUGUCGCAAGUCGUGCGCGCCCGUCGCGUCACGCGGGCUCGCAUAGCGCCUCGCGCCGCACCCGGUGCGGAGCUUUCAACGCGACCCCAGGUCAGGCGGGGUUACCCGCUGAAUUUAAGCAUAUCAAUAAGCGGAGGA